Molecule: non-coding RNA, 82 nt
Organism: Salmo salar (Atlantic salmon)
Lineage: Eukaryota; Metazoa; Chordata; Actinopteri; Salmoniformes; Salmonidae
Source: Rfam
GCUGUGAUGGCUGAGUGGUUAAGGCGCUGGACUUGAAAUACAAUGGGGUCUCCCUGCGCAGGUUCAAACCCUGCUCUCAGUU